RNAcentral lists this ribosomal RNA (1164 nucleotides) under Triticum aestivum (bread wheat). Its description in RNAcentral is "partial small subunit ribosomal RNA". The record is from RNAcentral. Lineage: Eukaryota; Viridiplantae; Streptophyta; Magnoliopsida; Poales; Poaceae.
AUGCAGAACCAGAUGGAAGAAGAAGACACCGAUGUUGAAAGGGGUCAUGCCGAUGAUUCUGACGAGUCAGAUGAAGAAGAAAAUGCAGAGGAGGUCCCGAAUCCUGCAUGGUGGAAUCAUGACUUAUCAUCUGCAAUGACCGUGAAUGAUGGACAUGAUUCAGCCUGGCAAUAUCACCAGAACAAUAUUGCGACGGGUGCUAUGUAUCCGAACAAGCAAGCCCUGAAGGAUGCAAUAAUUAAUUGGGCAAUGUCCACGCAAAGGGUUUUCAAAGCUGAGGUGUCCAGUCAGAAAUUCCUCACAAUGGUAUGCAAGAACGCAGAUUGUCCCGCAAGGGUGCACGGCUUUCUCCCUAAGUAUAGCACAAGUUGGGUGAUAAGUGACUUAGUUAAUCACACUUGUCUUAUUCCCUGCAUCCCUCAAGAUCAUGCCAACCUUUCAUCCACGCUUAUUGCUCGACUGUUUUACGAUGAGAUAGUGCAAGGCAAAGCUAUGGAAGUGAAGGCAGUGCAGACAAAAGUGUUCGCCAGGUUGAAGUACAGAAUUUCUUAUGGCAAGGCUUGGAGGGCUAAGCAUGCAGCGCUUGAGAGGAGAUUUGGUUCUUAUUUUGAUGCAUAUGACUCUGUUGUCCACCUCCUCCACACCCUGCAGCAGCGGAAUCCAGGCACCUAUAUCGAUAUCCAAGACAUGUUCAUGCCAGAGUUCCCAACUGUGAGGGUUUUGCAUCGUCUCUUCUUCUCUUUCGGUGUAUGCAUCGAAGCUUUCAGGCAUUGCCGACCGAUGAUAUGUGUUGACGGUACUUUUCUCACAGGCAAGUACAAGGGUCAGAUCCUGACAGCCAUAGGUCAAGACGGCCAAAAUCAAGUCGUCCCAUUGGCAUUUGCUUUUGUGGAGAGUGAGAACAUUGAAAGUUGGACAUGGUUCUUCGGGCAGUUGAAAAUAUCAGUUGUUAAGGAGAAGCCCAAUGUGUGCAUCCUUCAUGACAGGCAUGCAGGUAUACUCAGUGCGAUAAGGACACUGACAAACCCAGGCCCUGAGGAACAAGUUCCAUGGCAGGACUUGCAGAGCCGUUGGUGCAUGCGCCAUCUCGGGGCUAAUUUCUUCUCGCAGUUUAGAAAUAAGAACCUGAUGAAUCUGUUCAAAAAACUCUGCAAGCAGAACUAG